GCUCAACCGGGGAGGGUCAUUGGAAACUGGGGAACUUGAGUGCAGAAGAGGAGAGUGGAAUUCCACGUGUAGCGGUGAAAUGCGUAGAGAUGUGGAGGAACACCAGUGGCGAAGGCGACUCUCUGGUCUGUAACUGACGCUGAGGCGCGAAAGCGUGGGGAGCGAACAGGAUUAGAUACCCUGGUAGUCCACGCCGUAAACGAUGAGUGCUAAGUGUUAGAGGGUUUCCGCCCUUUAGUGCUGCAGCAAACGCAUUAAGCACUCCGCCUGGGGAGUACGGUCGCAAGACUGAAACUCAAAGGAAUUGACGGGGGCCCGCACAAGCGGUGGAGCAUGUGGUUUAAUUCGAAGCAACGCGAAGAACCUUACCAGGUCUUGACAUCCUCUGACAACCCUAGAGAUAGGGCUUCCCCUUCGGGGGCAGUGUGACAGGUGGUGCAUGGUUGUCGUCAGCUCGUGUCGUGAGAUGUUGGGUUAAGUCCCGCAACGAGCGCAACCCUUGAUCUUAGUUGCCAGCAUUCAGUUGGGCACUCUAAGGUGACUGCCGGUGACAAACCGGAGGAAGGUGGGGAUGACGUCAAAUCAUCAUGCCCCUUAUGACCUGGGGCUACACACGUGCUACAAUGGGCAGAACAAAG
Molecule: ribosomal RNA, 638 nt
Filed under: uncultured bacterium
Lineage: Bacteria
Description: bacterial SSU rRNA
Rfam family: Bacterial small subunit ribosomal RNA
Source: RNAcentral